RNAcentral lists this ribosomal RNA (397 nucleotides) under uncultured bacterium. Its description in RNAcentral is "partial 16S ribosomal RNA". It matches the Rfam family "Bacterial small subunit ribosomal RNA", at positions 523 to 918 of the family's 1533-position model. The record is from RNAcentral.
AUACGUAGGUGGCGAGCGUUGUCCGGAAUUACUGGGCGUAAAGGAUGCGUAGGUGGAUAUUUAAGUGGGAUGUGAAAUCCCCGGGCUCAACCCGGGAACUGCAUUCCAAACUGGGUAUCUAGAGUGUAGUAGAGGCAAGUGGAAUUUCUAGUGUAGCGGUGGAAUGCGUAGAUAUUAGAAGGAACACCAGUGGCGAAGGCGCCUUGCUGGGCUAUUACUGACGGUCAGGGACGAAAGCGUGGGGAGCAAAUAGGAUUAGAUACCCUGGUAGUCCACGCCGUAAACGAUGGGUACUAGGUGUAGGAGGUAUCGACCCCUUCUGUGCCGUCGUUAACACAAUAAGUACCCCGCCUGGGGAGUACGGUCGCAAGACUAAAACUCAAAGGAAUUGACGGGG